This 118-nucleotide transfer RNA is filed under the name Microscilla marina ATCC 23134. It matches the Rfam family "tRNA". From Rfam's summary of the family: Transfer RNA (tRNA) molecules are approximately 80 nucleotides in length. Their secondary structure includes four short double-helical elements and three loops (D, anti-codon, and T loops). The record is from Rfam by way of RNAcentral. Lineage: Bacteria; Pseudomonadati; Bacteroidota; Cytophagia; Cytophagales; Microscillaceae.
GAAGCGGUAGCUCAGUGGUAGAGCAGGAACCUUGGGGGUUUGAGUUGUGCCAUUACCUUAGGGGUCAAGUACAACUUACUUCUUUUCCGGGUCGCAGGUUCGAAUCCUGCCCGCUUCC